Molecule: long non-coding RNA, 3954 nt
Organism: Passer domesticus (house sparrow)
Lineage: Eukaryota; Metazoa; Chordata; Aves; Passeriformes; Passeridae
Exons: 3
Source: RefSeq, a predicted model, not a curated record
CCUGGGGGAGAGAGGCCAGCGAAGGUUUUCUUUCUAGGAUUAGCGAAAAUAGCUGUCACUUUACUGCUGCUCAACUUCCCUUUAUUCCUGUAAAACCGAAACUCCUCCUCAACAACUUUGCCCGGUACACGGGAAAGGAACAUCUGAAGCAGGGAGGCAGCAACUCCGUGACUGACAAGGGAGGCUGGCAGCUGCCAGGAGGGAUGCACGGAACGGCGCGGUACCCGCGGGGCUGACCCCUCCACUUAGCGCUAAGAACAAAGCGAGAGAUAACUACGGGUCUGUUUCAAAACGCAACGCGGGAAGUUUCUGGCAUGAUCACUCGAUUGCGGAGAAAAAGGUACUCGAGAUAAAGCACAGGAGGAACUCACGAGGAAUUCAUGUGAGCACCUUCCCCAGCCAAAAGCGGUUUCUGAAACGCUCCGUUUUCCCUUUUAUCCCUCCCGCAGCCCGGGGAGGAGGCGCCACCUGCUCCCAAACGGCCGGGAAAGAGGCACUUGCCGGGAGAGCGGCGGACUCCUCGGGAGCGUCGCCUCAUCGCUUCCCUUCUCCGGCAAACUUGCGCCGGCGGCUGAGCCCCCGCCCGCCCCCCGUCCCGCAGAGCUCCGGGCAGAAAUGCUGAAUCACGAAGCCGAGGGCGCGGGACCGGGGGCUCUCCCCGACCCCCACCCGGGGCCGGCCGCCGGGACACGGAGCCGGGAGAGGCUCCGCGCGGAGGGGGAGCCCCCCGCCCGCCGCGCCGACACUCACUUGAAGCAAACAUCUGAAAGAGACAAAGCAAUGCUCCAGCCAGCCAGUGAGGAAGACCUCCUGUUCUUCACACCAAGACCCACUGAAAUACUAACAUAUCAUCUUCUACUUUCUCCACAAAGGGAAACACUACCUCUUCAUGCAGCAGUCACCAUCACAGAUUGAAUUCAAGAUGUUGUCUGUUGCUAGAAGUCCUGUCCACCUACAAAGAAAGUAAUACCAAAAAGAAUUCAGAGAACAGAAGAAAUACUGAACACUGCUGUGUUCUGGAUGUCAGAUCUGUACAGAUAUAUGCAGUCAUAGACACAGAGGGAAAUGAAAGAGAAAGAAGAGAGUACAGAGAUGGGAUGAUUUGCUCCGAAGUUGCUUUGUCACUUCCAAACAUAUGUUACCUAAUAAGACACAUUUCCUUCUUCUGCAAGCCUUGGUUCUUUCUCUACCUAAAGUAUCCAUGCCAUUUGUUCUGAAAUGUGAAGCCGAAUUGCUUCUCAGAAAAGCCGAGCUGGCUUCUGGAAUUGUGUGUAGUUGAAGUACACCAGCUAUUUUCCUGCUUCCUUGUGUUUGAAUCACAAGUUUUAUGCCAGAUAUAUAAAAAAAGAUUAACAAAUGGCUGUUAAAACUAGAGACCUUGAAACUAAUUAUGUGUGAUGCUCAAAAAAUCCUUGCUCUGCUAAUUGAGCAGAGCUCAUUACUUCCAAAGCAGGAAAGUUUUGCCACCACUUGAAGUAAAACAUACUGCAGCCAAUGCAAGGCAGGAGACACAUUUGAGCAGAUACACUUCAAAGGGCUGAGCACUGAUUGAUCUGCUAUUAUCUGACAAUUGCAACUGCUCAAAGGCACGGAGAAACUGCAAAUGUUUUGAGUUUCAAGCUUAAACACGGAGUUUUGAAGAGUUAAGCUUUGCAUUGACUGAUUAAAGUAUAAGAAUGCAGUAAAUACAAUUUAAAAGUUAAAUUACCAUAUGGUCAUAGCUAGAGGUAAAUUUCAAAAGUAGCACAUGUAAAUAGUUUCUUGCUGUCUGAGCAAAUAAUUUUACAUUUAAAUGAAGUCAUUUGGUAACUGGUCCAAUUGAUUUCUGCUUGUAGUCAGUUACUGCAAUUCAUUUCAGUUGCCCCAGGAUGAAACUCUGUAUCUGUCACGCGUAGAAUCUUCAGUGGAUACAGAUUAUGUUUGAAUGGUUAAAAACAAACCAGGUUUGCAAUCUUAAAUCCAGUGUGCUGCCUGUGCUCAAAGAGCUUUGUAAAGACAGAGAGUAAACCAUGUGGGCCUGAGCCCCUCCAAGGAGUUCAGUGCAGGCAUAAUUCGGUUUAGUCAAGUAGGAUUUGCAUUUUGGAGUUACUGGGAGCACUGCAACGGUGAAAGACAUACUGAGAUUUACUGGGAAAAUCCUAAUUACAACCCUUUUUUCUUUGUUACCAAAUUGCUUCUAAGUCUAUUCAGGCAACAGAAAGUUUCUCUUUGAUGAAUUCUUCCUAAAGCCCAGUGAAAGUUCCUAUGUUUUUGCUUUCACUUUCAGCUGUGGCCAGAAGCCAGAACAAGCAGGAGAGGAAAGCUUACUACUUUGGUCCUGUGAUCCUUAGGAGACAAAGAAAUCCAAUAUCCUCAGGAUGACCCAUCCUUUUCAAAGGGGAUAUAGUAUUUCAAGUUCAGCUCACAACCCCCUAGUAAGCCUUCUCACCAUGGCAGUCACAGACUGUGCUUAAUAUCAGCCUUGAAAAUUCCACCCCCUCAGUAUUUACCAAGGGAUAUCAACAAGAAGAGAUCACAUGGUAAGCACUGCUUGGUGGAUCCUCAUGGAUGCUCAUUUCCCACCCCUGACACAGAUGGCAAGUAGCAGAGAAUCCUCUGUGACCCAUAUUCACAUCCAUUUGUCACCUGUUUCAUAUGCUUGUGCAAAAUGAGAGAUUUCAAGCUCAGAAAAAGCUUGCCAUAGUUGUUACUGGAUUAAAGAGAAUCUCUUUUUCAGCUCAUACAACAAAUGCAUUUUCUGCCUUUGAAGACACCCGAGUUAAGCCUUAGUCUAUGGGCAGGAUUGUUCAGAGUCUUGGAGCGCCUGCAGUAGAGGGAACAUCCGUGAUUUGACACUCUACCAGCAAAUGGUAGAGUGACUUGGGUUAUGUAAUAUCAGUUCAAAGGUCAGGGACAAUACAAAGGUGGGACAAGCCCCAGUAAUGAGAAUAAUUGGAUUCUUCAUCUACUGAGAGGAGGCAGACUAUGGCAUAGGCAGAUGAGAUUCCCCACUCCAGCAGGUUCACCCAUCAGCUGAAGAGAUAAGUAUUUUCCAUUUCUGUGUGCAUGAUUUGGGUGUUCAGAAAUCCAUGAAACAGGGAGUGGAGGAGCAAAAGCAUUUUUCUUUCCUUACUGAGAAUGGAUCUGCACUUCUCCUCUGAGGGAAGCAUUGAAGAAGUUUCCCAAAGCCAAAGAAAGUCCUCAGCCUUGCCCUUGCCUGACAGAUCUUUUUUAUUGCAGCCAAGCAAGGGAAAAGUACAGGCAAUAGGGUUGAGUCAUAAGAGUUAUCAUUUGCAACAGUCAUCUAUUUAUUGCUGAUUAACUAUAAGACAGUAUUAUAAGAAUUUUUAUGCACUUCAUGGAAAUCAGUUAAUGACUCAGAACCACUGAAAUUAAAAAGGGAAAACCCAAGAUAGGCCACCCUCUGGAUAAGCAGAUGAGGAAUUCUUAUAUGACCCAACAUUUUUUUCACUUACAUUGCAUAGCGCUGGAUGACAUUUUCACUCUUCCUGGAGCAUCGUUUCCAAGUACAAGCAGAAUGUGUGUGAGGCUGUUUAAAGAAAGUCCUGCUAGGAAGAAGUUGUUUUAAAAGGACAGCUUUCCCAAGAAAUGGACAUUAGUCACUCAGACACCGUAUGCUGCCCACGAGCCUGUGCAAGGACACGUGUGUAUUGUCAUGUGGCUGUACUGCUGGAUGCUGAGCUGCUGAGGUCAAGUGCAGGUUAUCUAUACAUUUUCAGAGGACCAUGGAUUGAAAAGAAGAAAGAAAUAAACAGUAGAUUUCAUCUUUCAGCGGUCAUUGCCACAUGCUGGUUUUGGAAAUCAAGUGACAAGAUGAUCACGACACAAUUCAGUUCACUGUUGCUAACACAGUCAAGUUGUCCUGGAAGAGAAGCUUCCUCAGAACUCAAAACUGAUUCCUUGGCUUUCUACAGAAACUCAGUCAGAUCUGACUCAUUCCUGCAGAAUAUCCUC